Molecule: unclassified non-coding RNA, 320 nt
Filed under: Hevea brasiliensis (rubber tree)
Lineage: Eukaryota; Viridiplantae; Streptophyta; Magnoliopsida; Malpighiales; Euphorbiaceae
Source: RNAcentral
AGAUUUCUUGAAGGCCGAUGAUUGCAUCGAGUGGCUGAACUCCAAGCCGCCCUCAUCAGCUGUUUAUGUUUCUUUUGGUAGCGUGGUGAGCUUAAGGCAAGACCAGCUUAACGAGAUUGCUUAUGGGCUAUUGAACUCGGGUGUUUCAUUUUUGUGGGUUUUUAGACCGCCUCCUAAAGAUUCAGUCUUUGAACCAGUUGAGAUCCCAGAUGGGUUGUUGGAGAAAACAGGAGACAAGGGAAAAAUAGUACAGUGGAGUCCACAAGAAAGAGUUCUAGCUCACCCAUCAGUUGCAUGCUUCGUGACACACUGUGGAUGGA